Molecule: ribosomal RNA, 495 nt
Filed under: uncultured bacterium
Lineage: Bacteria
Description: partial 16S ribosomal RNA
Rfam family: Bacterial small subunit ribosomal RNA
Source: RNAcentral
GAUGAACGCUGGCGGCGUGCCUAAUACAUGCAAGUAGAACGCUAACGGAGGAGCUUGCUCUUCUGGAUGAGUUGCGAACGGGUGAGUAACGCGUAGGUAACCUGCCUGGUAGCGGGGUAUAACUAUUGGAAACGAUAGCUAAUACCGCAUGACAACAGUUCUUGCAUGAUAACUGUUUAAACUGGGCACCUGCUCCACUACCAUAUGGCCCUGCGUUGUAUUAGCUAGUUGGUGAGGUAACGGCUCACCAAGGCGACGAUACAUAGCCGACCUGAGAGGGUGAUAGGCCACACUGGGACUGAGACACGGCCCAGACUCCUACGGGAGGCAGCAGUAGGGAAUCUUCGGAAAUGGACGGAAGUCUGACCGAGCAACGCCGCGUGAGUGAAGAAGGGUUUCGGAUCGUAAAGCUCUGUUGUAAGAGAAGAACGAGUGGGAGAGUGGAAAGUGCACACUGUGACGGUAUCUUACCAGAAAGGGACGGCUAACUACGUG